Girardinichthys multiradiatus is the source of this 401-nucleotide long non-coding RNA. RefSeq lists it as uncharacterized. The transcript has 2 exons. The record is from RefSeq and is a predicted model, not a curated record. NCBI's taxonomy places the organism in Eukaryota, Metazoa, Chordata, Actinopteri, Cyprinodontiformes, Goodeidae.
CAGAGGAGGCUUCGCCGUCCGAGGUGUCGCCUCCCUUCUCGGUGCCUGACGCAGCUUGAGGCGGCAGGUCUGCGGCUUCCUCGGCGUCCUUCCGCUUCUUCUCCGCCGUGGCUGGAGCAGACGUAGAGGCGGCCGUCAGAGUUGAGGUGGAAUCUCAACAGCCUGGCCGUGGACUGGGACUCGGACAUCCGUGGCAUAAAAGAAGACAGAGGAAACGAGUGGCCGUACAAAAUAAAUAAGCACACACAUGAGCAGACAAACCAUUAUUCUCAUCCGUAUACGGACUCAUUAUUUGGUCACACCAAUGUGGACUCCAUCGGCCUCCCUAUAUAGGUCAACAUAUCCGCCUUUAGGUUUAAAUCCAGCACAUUUCCGACUUAAACAACAGACCAGGAAAAAUU